UACAUGGGGUGCAAACGUUGCUCGGAAUUAUUGGGCGUAAAGCGCGCGUAGGCGGUUACUCAAGUCGGAUGUGAAAGCCCUCGGCUUAACUGAGGAAGUGCACCCGAAACUGAGUAGCUAGAGUACUAAAGAGGGUCGCGGAAUUCCCGGUGUAGAGGUGAAAUUCGUAGAUAUCGGAAGGAACACCAGUGGCGAAAGCGGCUCCCUGGUCCAGCACCGACGUUCAGGCACGAAAGCGUGGGGAGCAAACAGG
This 253-nucleotide ribosomal RNA is filed under the name uncultured bacterium. RNAcentral describes it as "partial 16S ribosomal RNA". It matches the Rfam family "Bacterial small subunit ribosomal RNA", at positions 524 to 776 of the family's 1533-position model. The record is from RNAcentral.